CGAGUGGCGGACGGGUGAGUAAUGCUUGGGAACUUGCCUUUGCGAGGGGGAUAACAGUUGGAAACGACUGCUAAUACCGCAUAAUGUCUUCGGACCAAACGGGGCUUAGGCUCCGGCGCAAAGAGAGGCCCAAGUGAGAUUAGCUAGUUGGUAAGGUAACGGCUUACCAAGGCGACGAUCUCUAGCUGUUCUGAGAGGAAGAUCAGCCACACUGGGACUGAGACACGGCCCAGACUCCUACGGGAGGCAGCAGUGGGGAAUAUUGCACAAUGGGGGAAACCCUGAUGCAGCCAUGCCGCGUGUGUGAAGAAGGCCUUCGGGUUGUAAAGCACUUUCAGUUGUGAGGAAAAGUUAGUAGUUAAUACCUGCUAGCCGUGACGUUAACAACAGAAGAAGCACCGGCUAACUCCGUGCCAGCAGCCGCGGUAAUACGGAGGGUGCGAGCGUUAAUCGGAAUUACUGGGCGUAAAGCGCACGCAGGCGGUUUGUUA
Molecule: ribosomal RNA, 491 nt
Filed under: Alteromonas macleodii
Lineage: Bacteria; Pseudomonadati; Pseudomonadota; Gammaproteobacteria; Alteromonadales; Alteromonadaceae
Description: bacterial SSU rRNA
Rfam family: Bacterial small subunit ribosomal RNA
Source: RNAcentral